RNAcentral lists this ribosomal RNA (468 nucleotides) under uncultured bacterium. RNAcentral describes it as "partial 16S ribosomal RNA". It matches the Rfam family "Bacterial small subunit ribosomal RNA", at positions 28 to 507 of the family's 1533-position model. The record is from RNAcentral.
GGCGAACGCUGGCGGUGUGCUUAACACAUGCAAGUCGAACGGAAAGGCACUGCUUUUGUGGGGUUCUCGAGUGGCGAACGGGUGAGUAACACGAGAGUAACCUGCCCUUGACUUUGGGAUAACUUCAGGAAACUGAGGCUAAUACAGGAUAGGAGCUCCUGCUCCAUGGUGGGGGUGGGAACGUUUCGGCGGGUGGGGAUGGACGCGCGGCUUAUCAGCUUGUUGGUGGGGGAGUGGCUUACCAAGGCUUUGACGGAUAGCCGGCCUGGGAGGGUGACCGGCCACAUUGGGACUGAGAUACGGCGCAGACGCCUACAGGAGGCAGCAGUGGCGAAUAUUGCACAAUGGGCGGAAGCCUGUUGCAGCAGCGUCGCGUUCGUGAUGACGGCCUGCUGGUUGUAAACCGCUGUCGCCUGUGACGAAGCGGGAGUGACGGUAAUGGGUAAAGAAGCACCGGCUAACUACGUG